Molecule: ribosomal RNA, 467 nt
Filed under: uncultured bacterium
Lineage: Bacteria
Description: bacterial SSU rRNA
Rfam family: Bacterial small subunit ribosomal RNA
Source: RNAcentral
AAUCAACGCUGGCGGCGUGCCUCAGACAUGCAAGUCGAACGAUUAAGACUUCCUUCGGGAAGUGCAUAAAGUGGCGCACGGGUGAGUAACACGUAAGUAAUCUACCCUCGAGUGGGGAAUAACGUUCGGAAACGGACGCUAAUACCGCAUAACGCAGCGGCACCGCAAGGUGACAGUUGUUAAAGGAGCAAUCCGCUUGAGGAGGAGCUUGCGGCAGAUUAGCUAGUUGGUAAGGUAAUGGCUUACCAAGGCUACGAUCUGUAACCGGUCUAAGAGGACGGUCGGUCACACUGACACUGAACAACGGGUCAGACUCCUACGGGAGGCAGCAGUCGGGAAUUUUGGGCAAUGGGCGAAAGCCUGACCCAGCAACGCCGCGUGAAGGAUGAAGUAUUUCGGUAUGUAAACUUCGAAAGAAUGGGAAGAAUAAAUGACGGUACCAUUUAUAAGGUCCGGCUAACUACGUG